RNAcentral lists this ribosomal RNA (482 nucleotides) under uncultured bacterium. RNAcentral describes it as "partial 16S ribosomal RNA". It matches the Rfam family "Bacterial small subunit ribosomal RNA", at positions 30 to 507 of the family's 1533-position model. The record is from RNAcentral.
AUUGAACGCUGGCGGCAUGCCUUACACAUUCAAGUCGAACGGUAACAGGUCUUCGGAUGCUGACGAGUGGCGAACGGGUGAGUAAUACAUCGGAACGUGCCCGAUCGUGGGGGAUAACGGAGCGAAAGCUUUGCUAAUACCGCAUACGAUCUACGGAUGAAAGCAGGGGACCGCAAGGCCUUGCGCGGACGGAGCGGCCGAUGGCAGAUUAGGUAGUUGGUGGGAUAAAAGCUUACCAAGCCGACGAUCUGUAGCUGGUCUGAGAGGACGACCAGCCACACUGGGACUGAGACACGGCCCAGACUCCUACGGGAGGCAGCAGUGGGGAAUUUUGGACAAUGGGCGAAAGCCUGAUCCAGCCAUGCCGCGUGCAGGAUGAAGGCCUUCGGGUUGUAAACUGCUUUUGUACGGAACGAAAAGACUCUUUCUAAUAAAGAGGGUCCAUGACGGUACCGUAAGAAUAAGCACCGGCUAACUACGUG